Papaver somniferum (opium poppy) is the source of this 190-nucleotide long non-coding RNA. RefSeq lists it as uncharacterized. Lineage: Eukaryota; Viridiplantae; Streptophyta; Magnoliopsida; Ranunculales; Papaveraceae. The record is from RefSeq and is a predicted model, not a curated record. The transcript has 2 exons.
UGAAAGGUCAGCAGACCGGCAGCGUUACAAAUUCAUCACCCGAAGCACUGUCUGCCUUUUCAGCUUUCCUUUUGGGUGCAGUCUCAAAGAGUAUCGCCACCUGUUUAACGUAUCCAGCCAUCAGGUGUAAAGUCACGAUCCAGGCUGCUGAUCCAGAUGAUGAUGGGACUGAAGAACCUCAUCAGCUAAA